RNAcentral lists this ribosomal RNA (509 nucleotides) under Nothogalepsus sp. MN174. RNAcentral's name for it is "partial 16S ribosomal RNA". It matches the Rfam family "Bacterial large subunit ribosomal RNA", at positions 1832 to 2600 of the family's 2925-position model. The record is from RNAcentral. Lineage: Eukaryota; Metazoa; Arthropoda; Insecta; Mantodea; Eremiaphilidae.
GGUUUCUUGAUUAUAUAAGAAAUUUAACCUGCCCCCUGAAGGAUUUUAAAGGGCCGCAGUAUUUUGACUGUGCAAAGGUAGCAUAAUAAUUAGUCUUUUAAUUGAAGGCUGGAAUGAAUGGUUGGACGAGGUAAAAGCUGUCUUAUAUUAAUUAUAUUGAAUUUAGAUUUUAAGUAAAAAGACUUAAAUAUUGUUAAGGGACGAGAAGACCCUAUAGAGUUUAAUAUUCUAAUUUUUAAUUGAGUUUAAAAGAAAUUUUUAAUUAUUAAAAGGUUUAUUUAAUUGGGGUGAUUAAAAAAUAAAAUAAACUUUUUUUUAAUUUAAAUAUUUUAUAUAGUUGAAUGAUCCAUAAAUUGUGAUUAUAAGAUUAAAUUACCUUAGGGAUAACAGCAUAAUUUUUCUUGAGAGUUCAUAUCGAGAGAAAAGAUUGUGACCUCGAUGUUGGAUUAAGAUUAUAUUUGGGUGUAGAUGUUCAAAGUUUAAGUCUGUUCGACUUUUAGAAUCUUACA